GGGGGCGGCUGGGUCCUGGUGGGCUCCACGGGCUUCAAACCCGGUGGCGGGCAGUGUCACUCCUGUCCGCGGUGGGUUCGAUUCCCACAUGCCCCCGCCA
This 100-nucleotide transfer RNA is filed under the name Bacillota bacterium. RNAcentral's name for it is "tRNA-Sec". It matches the Rfam family "Selenocysteine transfer RNA". The record is from RNAcentral. Lineage: Bacteria; Bacillati; Bacillota.